UACAGAGGUCCCGAGCGUUGUUCGGAUUCACUGGGCGUAAAGGGUGCGUAGGUGGUGAGGUAAGUCGGAUGUGAAAUCUCCAAGCUCAACUUGGAAAUGGCAUUGGAAACUACCUUGCUGGAGGUUUGGAGGGGGGACUGGAAUUCUCGGUGUAGCAGUGAAAUGCGUAGAUAUCGAGAGGAACACCAGUGGCGAAGGCGGGUCUCUGGACCGAGACUGACGCUGAGGCGCGAAAGCGUGGGGAGCAAACAGG
RNAcentral lists this ribosomal RNA (253 nucleotides) under uncultured bacterium. RNAcentral's name for it is "partial 16S ribosomal RNA". It matches the Rfam family "Bacterial small subunit ribosomal RNA", at positions 524 to 776 of the family's 1533-position model. The record is from RNAcentral.